RNAcentral lists this long non-coding RNA (1554 nucleotides) under Xyrichtys novacula (pearly razorfish). Lineage: Eukaryota; Metazoa; Chordata; Actinopteri; Labriformes; Labridae. The record is from RNAcentral.
ACUACUUUUAGCCUUUUACUGUAUUUACUAAAUUUAAAAUAACUUUUAUGUUUAUUAAUAUUUUUUUGCAUUAAAGGAUAAGUAAAAAAAAUUAUGACGAAUACCAUAUCAGUGGAAACCUGUUUAGGAGGCGACGGAUUACGAGCCAAACUGUAGCUCCUGAAGUGGACCAAUCAGAGCAGGCGAUUGGACCAAUCAGAGCAGAUGAUUGGUCCACCUGAUCACACAGGUGCGGAAAUGUAAAUGAGAAAAUGGCGACAUCGGAAACGCCGCAAAAGGCAAACUGAAAAGCGAACUUUAAACACUUGGAAAAUAAGACAGAAUUAACUUACAUUUGCAAACGAAUGGGAGCAUUUUGAACUACUGGGACACUGGUUGACUGACAAGGUAAGACUUAAUUUAUUCGCCCAUUUUAAAGGAGUAAUUUAAUUUUUUAAAUUCAGUUUAAAUGAAAUAGAAGUGAGUCUGUUGUGUUGCUUUCUUUAAAAGAAGUGAUAUAUAUUUUUUGUACUUUUACUUAGGACGCCAAGAGGUAUUCAUACAAUGUUUCUGAACGUACCCUCUUGUGUAAAAUCAUCAUAGGAGACAACAGCAGAUUUAUUUUUAAUGAAAUGAAAAAUAAUAAUAAUAAUAAUAAUAAUAAUAAUAAUAAUAAUAAUAAUAAUAAUAAUAAUUAAAUAAAAAUCAUUUUGAGCAGUCAUGGAAAUCCUAAAUUCAAAUGCCUCUUAACAAGUAAGAUAAAAAGGUUUUGAUCACCAUUUAAUUGUGUUUAUGGCCAAGAAUCAAGUUUUAAAGGUUUCCAAUUCGACCAGUUUAGCCCACAUCAGAAAUCCCCUUUGGCUGAGAUUUGAUAUUGAAAAGUUAAUUUUAUAUCCUUUUCUUAUGUGGAAAUGCAAAGAAAGUAUUUUACUCUAAUCAUGACAUUUAUGGAAAGAUAUUUAGGCUGCUUUUUCACAUGCAGUAGAUUUAUAUUUACCAAUUUUCAUUUAGAAUUUAAUACUAUUGUUUAUUUUUAAUGCACUGCAGAACAAAAACCAUGAAGAAGAAACAGGAUGGGAGGGUGAUCAGGUAAGAGACCGUUUAUUCAUUUAUGGAUUGACAACAAUUAUGGAAGUGUGUUUUUUCUUGUGGGUAAAAAGUCAAGUUUUAGAUGUCUGUUAAUUUCCCAUUUAAUUCACUGUGUGAUAAAGCUGCUUUAGUUUGGGAUGUCAUGCUCCUCAAACUCCAGUAGAGGGCGCUAAAUGUUUAAAUAUGUUAGACUAGUCUGCUGUUGAAAAAUGAAUCCCAUCCACUCUCUCUCUCUCUCUUUCUCUCUACCCCUCUCAUGUUCACAUCCAGAUGAGUUGUAAGACCUGAUAGGCUCGUAUUUGUGUUUAUUGGUGAGGCACAGUCACAUCCCAUGUGUCACGAACAGCAUGUUCCAGUUGAGCAUGUAUAAAACUCCACCUGCUUCACAUUAUACUUCAUGGAGGUAGCCAUCAAUUAACUUAUUGCUGAAUAAAAGUUAUACUGCAUAUUUAAUACUCGAAAGAUUACAAGGGGCUUUAAAGGGAG